UCCUCAUUGAAUUAUAUGAGGUAUAACCUGCUCAAUGCAAAAAGUAAAUAGCCGCAGUAUUCUGACUGUGCAAAGGUAGCAUAAUAAAUUGGCCUUUAAUUGGGGUCUGGAAUGAACGGUUUGACAAGGAUUUAACUGUCUCAUUAUUAAAUUUUUGAAGUUGAAUUGUUUGUAAAAAUGCAAACAUUUGAGAGAGGGACGAGAAGACCCUAUAGAUCUUUAAAGAAUAGAUUGAAAAAGUUUAAUUGAUUCUUUUUAUUUGGGGAAAAUCCUGAAAUAAAUUAAUUUUUAUUUAAACUUCGGUUAAUAUAUAAAAAAUUUAAUAAUUGAAAUUUGAUCCACAAAGGUGAAAAGAUGAAAAAGUUACCUUAGGGAUAACAGGACAAUGAUCCUUUAUCAGAGACCCUAUCUUAAAGGACGUUUGUUACCUCGAUGUUGAAUUAAGUUAUCUAAUAUGAAGGAGAAAUUUUUAAAGUUGGUCUGUUCGACCAUUAAAAAC
Molecule: ribosomal RNA, 499 nt
Filed under: Coloceras sp. JDW-2010
Lineage: Eukaryota; Metazoa; Arthropoda; Insecta; Psocodea; Philopteridae
Description: partial 16S ribosomal RNA
Rfam family: Bacterial large subunit ribosomal RNA
Source: RNAcentral